UGGAGAGUUUGAUCCUGGCUCAGAUUGAACGCUAGCGGCAUGCCUUACACAUGCAAGUCGAACGGCAGCGCGGGCUUCGGCUGGCGGCGAGUGGCGAACGGGUGAGUAAUGCAUCGGAACGUACCCAGUAGCGGGGGAUAACUACGCGAAAGCGUAGCUAAUACCGCAUACGCCCUACGGGGGAAAGGGGGGGAUCGCAAGACCUCUCACUAUUGGAGCGGCCGAUGUCGGAUUAGCUAGUUGGUGGGGUAAAGGCCUACCAAGGCGACGAUCCGUAGCUGGUUUGAGAGGACGACCAGCCACACUGGGACUGAGACACGGCCCAGACUCCUACGGGAGGCAGCAGUGGGGAAUUUUGGACAAUGGGGGCAACCCUGAUCCAGCCAUGCCGCGUGUGCGAAGAAGGCCUUCGGGUUGUAAAGCACUUUUGGCGGGAAAGAAACGGCGCCGGCUAAUACCUGGCGUAACUGACGGUACCCGCAGAAUAAGCACCGGCUAACUACGUGCCAGCAGCCGCGGUA
RNAcentral lists this ribosomal RNA (521 nucleotides) under Pigmentiphaga sp. ALS1172. RNAcentral's name for it is "bacterial SSU rRNA". It matches the Rfam family "Bacterial small subunit ribosomal RNA", at positions 1 to 522 of the family's 1533-position model. The record is from RNAcentral. Lineage: Bacteria; Pseudomonadati; Pseudomonadota; Betaproteobacteria; Burkholderiales; Alcaligenaceae.